Molecule: long non-coding RNA, 147 nt
Organism: Amphimedon queenslandica
Lineage: Eukaryota; Metazoa; Porifera; Demospongiae; Haplosclerida; Niphatidae
Exons: 3
Source: RefSeq, a predicted model, not a curated record
GUAUCACUGGGACAAACUAUACUGGAUGAUAUUAGUAAGUAUUUUCCUACUCCUGAAGUGGGUGUGGUUCCUGAGGCUAUUAAAGAUCAUGAUGUAGUUCCACAAGCAAGUACUGCUGAUGAAACCAAUACAAUACAAUCUGGUAUG